UCCCUGGUCAUCAGAUGGUAAAGAAUCUGCCUACAAUGCAGAAGACCCAGGUUCGAUCCCUGGCUUGGAAA
Molecule: transfer RNA, 71 nt
Filed under: Bos taurus (domestic cattle)
Lineage: Eukaryota; Metazoa; Chordata; Mammalia; Artiodactyla; Bovidae
Also listed under: 2 other names
Rfam family: tRNA
About the family: Transfer RNA (tRNA) molecules are approximately 80 nucleotides in length. Their secondary structure includes four short double-helical elements and three loops (D, anti-codon, and T loops).
Source: Rfam by way of RNAcentral